CUUGUAGACCUAUUAAUGGAAGGCAAACACUAAACCUAUUAGACAUGGUAUCCCACUAUCACUACAUCAAUUCUCUUUUAACACAAUUUAAGCUAGUAUUAUGCAUAAAAUCAUGCAGUAGAAACUGACAAAACUGCAGGCAUAGUCCAUCAUCAGCAACUUAAAAAUCAUCUUUGGACCAUAAAUCCACACCACUGUGAGAAAUUUCACAAAUGUCGAUUUGUUACUGCAAAGUGUUGAAACUAAUAUAGUAGAUAUCGUACAUCUUACCCUGUUUGCUUCUUUCAAAAGAAUGGUGCAAUUAAAAUAAAGCAUCAUCGCUCUGCCAAAACAUGGGAUAAAUCUUAUUGAAUAAAGAGAUAGGCAAAUGUCUCUGACCAUCUAAUAGACAGAGAAUCAGUAAAUAUUCUAUUAACAUGAUAGAAACCAGAAGAUCAAGUGCAGUACUAAUUCUUGCAUCCUCCAGAAGAUAUCUACUUAAAUGUCCUGCUCCAUUAAAGCUUCCAAGAGUGCUCAAUAACUACAAGUUAUCAAGACCAAACUAACUAAUGAAUUCUUAUAUGUUUUUCUAUAAGCUACCUGUAACAACAAAAGCACUCAUUCAUUCACGAAUUGUCCAUUAUAUCAGAUGCUCGCCACACAUUCACAUCAUACCAUGACAUAGCAUGCAUAUAAAUGCAGUGACAAAGUAGGUAUGAAGUUAUGAACCAUUGUUCAAGUCCCUUGAUGUGCAUGUUAUAGAUAAUCUAGAGGUUUUUCUAGGAAAUUGUGGUUGAAAGAGAGAGCAACAGGUCUAAGCACAUGACAUAGAAAGGAAAGCGGUAAGAAUACAGAAUGGUUCUAAGAUAGUACUAAUACCCUUCACUGGUAACAAAAAACUCCACAAACGAAUUCAAGGAGACCAAAAUUGAAGUCACGUCGCAUGGAUCAAAAGGAACGAACAGAAAGUGGGAAAUAGCCGUACGAAGUAUCACUCUAAUAAACAAUCAUAGACGGCAAUAAAAGAAAGCUAAUCCUACAGUAACUGCUACCCAUUCAAGAUCCCAUACGUAGAUCCGGAAGAACGAUUGAAGAACAUAGCAGCAAACCGAUAAAAGAGAGAAGAAUUGAGGAAACGGAGGUUACUAGAUUGAUCGGGGCACCAAGCAUGGCAGGUGAUGCACUGCGCGAACUGAUGGAUCGCCACCGCUGCCAUGCCCUAAAUCACCUUCUCCUCCUCCCCCCCUUCGCCACUCCUCUCUCUCUCUCUCUGAGCGAAGGGAACUACGAGAGGAACGAGCAGAGGCGGACUUGAGAGGAUUCGUCGUCGAGGAGGAA
RNAcentral lists this long non-coding RNA (1317 nucleotides) under Musa acuminata (dwarf banana). RNAcentral describes it as "long non-coding RNA (MACU_LNC005899)". Lineage: Eukaryota; Viridiplantae; Streptophyta; Magnoliopsida; Zingiberales; Musaceae. The record is from RNAcentral.